Molecule: ribosomal RNA, 490 nt
Filed under: uncultured bacterium
Lineage: Bacteria
Description: bacterial SSU rRNA
Rfam family: Bacterial small subunit ribosomal RNA
Source: RNAcentral
GAUCAUGGCUCAGAACGAACGCUGGUGGCGUGUCUAUACAUGCAAGUCGAGCGAGGCAGCAAUGCCUAGCGGCGAACGGGUGAGUAACGCGUAAGCAAUCUGCCCCAUAUCAGGAAAUACCCGUGCCAACGCGCGGUUAAUGUCCAGGAGCGUGGCCUUCCGCAUGGGAGGUUGACAAGAGAUUUAUCGGUAUGGGAUGAGCUUGCGUCCGAUUAGCUAGUUGGCGGGCAACGGCCCACCAAGGCGACGAUCGGUAGCCGGCCUGAGAGGGUGAUCGGCCACAUUGGGACUGAGAUACGGCCCAGACUCCUACGGGAGGCAGCAGUAGGGAAUAUUGCACAAUGGGGGAAACCCUGAUGCAGCAACGCCAACCGUGUGGGAAGAAGCAUUUCGGUGUGUAAGCCACUGUCGUGAGGGAAUAAGGCGUCUUCUCGGAGACGUUGAAUGUACCUCGAAAGGAAGCACCGGCAAACUUCGUGCCAGCCGCCGC